AAGGCUCUAGCUUAAUUAAAGCGCUUGAGUUGCAUUCAGGAGAUGCAGGUUAGUGGCCUGCGAGUCUUA
This 69-nucleotide transfer RNA is filed under the name Chrysuronia versicolor. RNAcentral's name for it is "tRNA-Ala". It matches the Rfam family "tRNA". Rfam says of the family: Transfer RNA (tRNA) molecules are approximately 80 nucleotides in length. Their secondary structure includes four short double-helical elements and three loops (D, anti-codon, and T loops). The record is from RNAcentral. Lineage: Eukaryota; Metazoa; Chordata; Aves; Apodiformes; Trochilidae.